AACGCGAAGAACCUUACCAGGGCUUGACAUCCCGCUGACCGCUCCAGAGAUGGAGCUUCCCUUCGGGGCAGCGGUGACAGGUGGUGCAUGGUUGUCGUCAGCUCGUGUCGUGAGAUGUUGGGUUCAGUCCCGCAACGAGCGCAACCCUUAUCGCUAGUCGCCAGCAUUCAGUUGGGCACUCUAGCGAGACAGCCGGUGAAAGCUGGAGGAAGGUGGGGAUGACGUCAAAUCAUCAUGCCCCUUAUGUCCUGGGCUACACACGUGCUACAAUGGCCGGUACAAUGGGUCGCCAACCCGCGAGGGGGUGCUAAUCCCACAAAACCGGUCUCAGUUCGGAUCGCAGGCUGCAACUCGCC
Molecule: ribosomal RNA, 356 nt
Filed under: uncultured Thermoactinomyces sp.
Lineage: Bacteria; Bacillati; Bacillota; Bacilli; Caryophanales; Thermoactinomycetaceae
Description: bacterial SSU rRNA
Rfam family: Bacterial small subunit ribosomal RNA
Source: RNAcentral